UGCCAGCAGCCGCGGUAAUACGGAGGGUGCAAGCGUUGUCCGGAUUUAUUGGGUUUAAAGGGUGCGUAGGCGGCCCUAUAAGUCAGUGGUGAAAGCCCAUCGCUCAACGAUGGAACUGCCAUUGAUACUGUAGGGCUUGAGUACAGACGAGGUAGGCGGAAUUGAUGGUGUAGCGGUGAAAUGCAUAGAUACCAUCAAGAACACCGAUUGCGUAGGCAGCUUACUAGGCUGUAACUGACGCUGAGGCACGAAAGCGUGGGGAGCGAACAGGAUUAGAUACCCUGGUAGUCCACGCCGUAAACGAUGAUUACUCGAUGUUGGCGAUAAACAGUCAGCGUCUUAGCGAAAGCGUUAAGUAAUCCACCUGGGGAGUACGCCCGCAAGGGUGAAACUCAAAGGAAUUGACGGGGGCCCGCACAAG
RNAcentral lists this ribosomal RNA (421 nucleotides) under uncultured bacterium. RNAcentral describes it as "bacterial SSU rRNA". It matches the Rfam family "Bacterial small subunit ribosomal RNA", at positions 506 to 929 of the family's 1533-position model. The record is from RNAcentral.